UACAGAGGCCCCAAGCGUUGUUCGGAUUCACUGGGCGUAAAGGGUGCGUAGGCGGUCGGGUAAGUCUGACGUGAAAUCUUCAAGCUUAACUUGGAAACUGCGUCGGAUACUAUUCGGCUAGAGGAAUGGAGGGGAGACUGGAAUACUUGGUGUAGCAGUGAAAUGCGUAGAUAUCAAGUGGAACACCAGUGGCGAAGGCGAGUCUCUGGACAUUUCCUGACGCUGAGGCACGAAAGCCAGGGGAGCAAACGGG
This 253-nucleotide ribosomal RNA is filed under the name uncultured bacterium. RNAcentral's name for it is "partial 16S ribosomal RNA". It matches the Rfam family "Bacterial small subunit ribosomal RNA", at positions 524 to 776 of the family's 1533-position model. The record is from RNAcentral.